RNAcentral lists this long non-coding RNA (802 nucleotides) under Anas platyrhynchos platyrhynchos (common mallard). RNAcentral's name for it is "lncRNA (ENSAPLG00000019058.1)". Lineage: Eukaryota; Metazoa; Chordata; Aves; Anseriformes; Anatidae. The record is from RNAcentral.
CCUCAGGACCCCUUUUUAAUAUUCGUGGUUUAAUAACCCAGUUUCUAUUUCUUUUUCCCUUAGGUGAAUCUGGAGUCACCCUCUAUUAUCUCAGGCUGGAGUUUCCUUGCCUUGUUUGUUUACCAUAGGGGAGGUGAAGGCGCAGGGACAACGCAAUGCCAUCUGAAGUUAAAAUGCUCUGGACUUGCCUGUGCCAUCCCUCAAAGUCCUGCCUUGCUUGCUUGCAGAGGUGGGAUGCAGGAGACCACUCAAUACUCAGCAGAGAGGGAUGGAUUCACCUUGCCUGCUCCUCCCUCUCACCAGGGAAUUAUGCACUGUGGUAGAGGAAGGACCUCUGGUGUCCCCACAGAUAGUAAGCUUGAGUCAUGAUGUGAAGCCUCAUUUUUCAGCCAACCUAAAGGUGAGGACCAGCUGCCCCUGCUGCACCUGGGUGACUGUUCAGAGCAGAAACAGAGUGAAAAGGUCCUGUUGGCAACGGGCAUCUGCGUGUCUUAACCCACUGACUGAAAGGGCUGUGUGUGCUUGGGAUGUGCCGAGGGCUGGACUGUGGUACGGUCAUCCCGGGGUUAGAUCCCCAUUGUAAUAGAAGUUGUAAACACACAGAGCACUUCUGUACUCUUGCUAGGACCAUUUAAUCCAGCUACAGCUGGCAAUGCGAACAGUAAAGAUGCAGUGGCAGCAGUUUUAAAUCACGCUGGCAGCCUGGCUGCAUGCUUUGGUUGACCUGUGCUGUUUCCUGGCCCACCCUGCCAUGUCACUGCAGAUAAGGAAGAGAAUAAAAACCACCAGCAUCAUUCUGCCA